AAAGUCGUAACAAGGUUUCCGUAGGUGAACCUGCGGAAGGAUCAUUAUUGAAAUAAACCUGAUGGGUUGUUGCUGGCUCUCUAGGGAGCAUGUGCACGCCUUGUCAUCUUUAUAUCUCCACCUGUGCACUUUUUGUAGACCUGAAAAGGUCUAUGUUGCUUCAUUUUACCCCAAUGUAUGUCUAUAGAAUGUUGUGCCUAUGAUAAUAUAUACAACUUUCAGCAACGGAUCUCUUGGCUCUC
This 242-nucleotide unclassified non-coding RNA is filed under the name Basidiomycota sp. RNAcentral's name for it is "partial contains small subunit ribosomal RNA, internal transcribed spacer 1, and 5.8S ribosomal RNA". The stretch from base 1 to 47 matches the Rfam family "Eukaryotic small subunit ribosomal RNA", at positions 1785 to 1831 of the family's 1831-position model. Lineage: Eukaryota; Fungi; Basidiomycota. The record is from RNAcentral.